RNAcentral lists this ribosomal RNA (468 nucleotides) under uncultured bacterium. RNAcentral describes it as "partial 16S ribosomal RNA". It matches the Rfam family "Bacterial small subunit ribosomal RNA", at positions 28 to 507 of the family's 1533-position model. The record is from RNAcentral.
GACGAACGCUGGCGGCGUGCUUAACACAUGCAAGUCGAACGGAAAGGCCCUGCUUUUGUGGGGUGCUCGAGUGGCGAACGGGUGAGUAACACGUGAGUAACCUGCCCUUGACUUUGGGAUAACUUCAGGAAACUGGGGCUAAUACCGGAUAGGAGCUCCUGCUGCAUGGUGGGGGUUGGAAAGUUUCGGCGGUUGGGGAUGGACUCGCGGCUUAUCAGCUUGUUGGUGGGGUAGUGGCUUACCAAGGCUUUGACGGGUAGCCGGCCUGGGAGGGUGACCGGCGACAUUGGGACUGAGGGACGGCCCAGACGCGUACGGUGGGCAGCAGUGGGGAAUAUUGCACAAUGGGCGGAAGCCUGAGGCAGCAACGCCGCGUGCGGGAUGACGGCCUUCGGGUUGUAAACCGCUUUAGCCUGUGACGAAGCGUGAGUGACGGUAAUGGGUAAAGAAGCACCGGCUAACUACGUG